Molecule: ribosomal RNA, 253 nt
Filed under: uncultured bacterium
Lineage: Bacteria
Description: partial 16S ribosomal RNA
Rfam family: Bacterial small subunit ribosomal RNA
Source: RNAcentral
UACGUAGGGGGCAAGCGUUGUCCGGAAUUAUUGGGCGUAAAGCGCGUGUAGGCGGCCAGCUAGGUCCGCUGUGAAAACUCGAGGCUUAACCUCGAGAGGUCGGCGGAAACCAUCUGGCUAGAGUCCGGAAGAGGAGAGUGGAAUUCCCGGUGUAGCGGUGAAAUGCGUAGAUAUCUGGAGGAACACCGGUGGCGAAGGCGGCAUCCUGGACCGAAACUGACACUGAUGCGCGAAAGCCAGGGGAGCAAACGGG